Molecule: long non-coding RNA, 980 nt
Organism: Ahaetulla prasina
Lineage: Eukaryota; Metazoa; Chordata; Lepidosauria; Squamata; Colubridae
Exons: 2
Source: RefSeq, a predicted model, not a curated record
CGGAACCGUGGCAGCUUGUCGCAACGUGCAAGCCUCAUCUCCUGCUAUCCCGGCCACAGUGAUGGAACAAAUGCCUGGGAAUGAAGAAGAAUCCAGAAUUCCAUCGGAUCCCACAAUGCCUAAUUGAAACAUUGGUCAGAGAAGACUGAAACAUUGGCAGUGGACUUUGAAACGUUAGAUAAAGAAGCCUGCCCUACAAUUACAAGGAAUGCCGAGUAUGGACAGAAGUAGAAAAUCUGUAACAAAUCACACAUAAAUGUAAAUGAGGCUCCCCGAUUAAUAUGUAUGAGGAUGUGAAUGUGUGUGGAGGCUGUCUUGGGUAGAUGUCUUUGCAUAACCAUUUACAAGCCAGAAACUUAUUUCAUGCAUUCCUUCACAUGCAGUUCAUGACAGUUGCAUCCAAAAUGCAUCCACUGUAAACUGAAUGGAGCUCUUGCAUUGAUGCCAGUGGAAGACAGAAGAGGUUAAUGGGGAAAAAAGAAGAGUUUCCAAGAAUAGCACCUGGCUGCCAAAAAAAUAACCUACAUAGAUGUGCGCAUGAGCUCAUGAUGUGGGUUGACUUAUCUGCCUUUUCAUCUGAAUACAGUUCAACACAUCGGCUGUCCCAGCUAGCUAGAGUUAUGCUGGCAUAAUAUUGGAUUUCUGGGUGGAUCCUGGGAAUUAAGGAAGUAUCUGAGGCCAUGCUGUGCAGUCAAAGAAAUCUAACCAAAGACUACCAGUCAGAGCCAUGGAGAGAAUAAGGCUCUUAACUGAGAGGCCAGGCCAGCAUAACUUUUCUUUCCCAAAGUAAUUAUCUGGUUUGGCUUUCACACAACUAUUUUUAUUGCUGUUUCUUGGUAAGAGCACAUCUUAUGUGCUCAGGUCAAAAAAAAAAUGUUUUCUAUACUGAGAAUUUCAACCAAAAAUAUCUGUAUGGGGUUGGGGAUAGGACAAGGUCAAUGUAAAUAUGUUAGUAUAUGAAUAAAAUAUUGUUAUAUUGA